This 124-nucleotide antisense RNA is filed under the name Candidatus Regiella insecticola LSR1. RNAcentral's name for it is "Bacterial antisense RNA HPnc0260". It matches the Rfam family "Bacterial antisense RNA HPnc0260". The record is from Rfam by way of RNAcentral. Lineage: Bacteria; Pseudomonadati; Pseudomonadota; Gammaproteobacteria; Enterobacterales; Enterobacteriaceae.
GGUGACAAAGGAAGAAACUGCGCAGAAGAAUUUUGUAUCACCAGCCAAAUUAAUAUUAAGCUGAUUUACAUAAAUGAAUAAAAAAUGGUGCGUCCGAGUGGACUCGAACCACCGACCCCCACCA